This 61-nucleotide transfer RNA is filed under the name Gorillibacterium timonense. It matches the Rfam family "tRNA", at positions 7 to 64 of the family's 71-position model. From Rfam's summary of the family: Transfer RNA (tRNA) molecules are approximately 80 nucleotides in length. Their secondary structure includes four short double-helical elements and three loops (D, anti-codon, and T loops). The record is from RNAcentral. Lineage: Bacteria; Bacillati; Bacillota; Bacilli; Caryophanales; Paenibacillaceae.
GGUAGCUCAGUUGGUAGAGCACUCGACUGUUAAUCGAGUUGUCACAGGUUCGAGUCCUGUC